This 253-nucleotide ribosomal RNA is filed under the name uncultured bacterium. RNAcentral's name for it is "partial 16S ribosomal RNA". It matches the Rfam family "Bacterial small subunit ribosomal RNA", at positions 524 to 776 of the family's 1533-position model. The record is from RNAcentral.
UACGGGGGGGGCAAGCGUUGUUCGGAAUUACUGGGCGUAAAGGGCUCGUAGGCGGCCAACUAAGUCAGACGUGAAAUCCCUCGGCUUAACCGGGGAACUGCACCUGAUACUGGAUGGCUUGAGUUCGGGAGAGGGAUGCGGAAUUCCAGGUGUAGCGGUGAAAUGCGUAGAUAUCUGGAGGAACACCGGUGGCGAAGGCGGCAUCCUGGACCGACACUGACGCUGAGGAGCGAAAGCCAGGGGAGCAAACGGG